Long non-coding RNA from Topomyia yanbarensis, 650 nucleotides. RefSeq lists it as uncharacterized. Lineage: Eukaryota; Metazoa; Arthropoda; Insecta; Diptera; Culicidae. The record is from RefSeq and is a predicted model, not a curated record. The transcript is spliced from 3 exons.
GGAAAUGCUGGAUCCCUGGUGUAGUUGAGGAACCAAUCGUGUCUGGUGAUGGGAGGAUCCGCCAGGCAUGGGUUCGAACCAGGACUGGAAGGUUUAAACGAGCGACAGCGAGACUAGCUGUGCUGGAAAUCGUGGGUAAAUCUGAGCCGGAUAUGAAUCCUGAACCAGGUUUACGGGUCGGGGAAAAUGUUGGGCCCACUGUCUCACUGCCGCGUGAGUAUGCAGAUCCGUUGACAUCUCAUCGAGAUGAGCAUCAAUAAUGCUGAUAGGGUAUGUAAACAAAGAAGGUGAGAAGAAAUGAAGUGAUAGCGAUUGGAGCGAAAUGUCAGGUAGAGGAAUCAUAGAAAAAGGAGGCAAUAUAGAGUGUUAGUAGAAAGUGUUUAAAGUUGCGAGAUAGUUGAAUUAAAGUGGAUUGUGGACGGUUUUCUCAAGUGAACGAAGUUGCUUGGAGAUAGAACGGCACAAGAUUUUAAUAGUGAAGGAAACUAUACCGCUUUACGUGGACGAAGAUAAACGAGGUUAGGAAAGGGAGAUAAGUGCGAAUAGUGACAACACGAGAAUUAAUCGUGCGUGACGUUGUACGGAGUAAAAGCGAAAGGGACGAAUACAGAUCAGUUGGUGACAAACAACAGAGAUUAGAUUAAAUAUCA